Molecule: ribosomal RNA, 460 nt
Filed under: uncultured bacterium
Lineage: Bacteria
Description: partial 16S ribosomal RNA
Rfam family: Bacterial small subunit ribosomal RNA
Source: RNAcentral
CCUACGGGUGACAGCAGUGAGGAAUAUUGGUCAAUGGACGAGAGUCUGAACCAGCCAAGUAGCGUGAAGGAUGACUGCCCUAUGGGUUGUAAACUUCUUUUAUAUGGGAAUAAAAUGUUCCACGUGUGGGAUUUUGUAUGUACCAUAUGAAUAAGGAUCGGCUAACUCCGUGCCAGCAGCGGCGGUAAUACGGAGGAUCCGAGCGUUAUCCGGAUUUAUUGGGGUUAAAGGGAGCGUAGGUGGAUUGUUAAGUCAGUUGUGAAAGUUUGCGGCUCAACCGUAAAAUUGCAGUUGAAACUGGCAGUCUUGAGUACAGUAGAGGUGGGCGGAAUUCGUGGUGUAGCGGUGAAAUGCUUAGAUAUCACGAAGAACUCCGAUUGCGAAGGCAGUUCACUGGACUGCAACUGACACUGAGGCUCGAAAGUGUGGGUAUCAAACAGGAUUAGAUACCCGUGUAGUC